This 587-nucleotide small RNA is filed under the name Pan troglodytes (chimpanzee). RNAcentral describes it as "retained intron". The record is from RNAcentral. Lineage: Eukaryota; Metazoa; Chordata; Mammalia; Primates; Hominidae.
GGCGUUUGCCCCCCGCCAGGAAGGUGGGGUCUUGGGUGGUCAGGACCUGGGCUCCUGGGGUCGCCCCCGUCCUUCAGAAUACUCCUUAACCCACGUGUGCCUCAGAUCGUGUUCGACGAGUGUCACAAAGCCAAGAAUGCCGGCUCCACCAAGAUGGGCAAGGCCGUGCUAGACCUGCAGAACAAGCUGCCCCUGGCCCGCGUGGUCUACGCCAGUGCCACAGGUGCCUCUGAGCCUCGGAACAUGAUCUACAUGAGCCGCUUGGGUAUCUGGGGCGAGGGCACACCCUUCCGGAACUUUGAGGAGUUCCUGCACGCCAUCGAGAAGAGGGGCGUUGGCGCCAUGGAGAUCGUGGCCAUGGACAUGAAGGUCAGCGGCAUGUACAUCGCACGCCAGCUCAGCUUCUCCGGCGUCACCUUCCGCAUCGAGGAGAUCCCGCUGGCCCCAGCCUUCGAGUGUGUCUACAACCGCGCGGCCCUGCUGUGGGCCGAGGCCCUGAACGUGUUCCAGCAGGCGGCCGACUGGAUCGGCCUGGAGUCGCGCAAGUCCCUGUGGGGCCAGUUCUGGUCGGCACAUCAGCGCUUCUU